This is a non-coding RNA of Paramuricea clavata, 490 nucleotides long. NCBI's taxonomy places the organism in Eukaryota, Metazoa, Cnidaria, Anthozoa, Malacalcyonacea, Plexauridae. The record is from the annotation of a GenBank genome assembly.
GUUUCUUGGUUUGCCCAUCUUCAGGAAUCAUGGCUAGGAAACAUGGCGAAGAAACAAUGUUUCUUAGUUUGUCCUCUUUUAAGAACCAUAGCUAUAGGAAACGUGCAUAUAUAUUGUUUCUUGGUUCGCCCACCUUUAUUAAGAAACAUGUGUAUAGGAAAUAACGUUUCCUGGUUUGUCAUCUUUUGGAAACCUGGCAAGGAAAUAAUGUUUCCUGGUUUGCCCACUUUGUUUGGGUUACAUGGUUAGGAAGCAAUGUUUCCCACAACAACAAGUUUGAAUUUUAUUACCUUCCAGAAUAAUGGUGCACUUGUCACCAACAACGGAGCAAGGAUAAGGAGAAAACAAAACGCGUAAAUCUUCAUUGGUGACAUGCUUCCUUUCGAUUCUUAAUGUAAAGUUUUAACUCUGUGCAAAGCGUAUCUGACUGGAUAUUGCCUGAUUACGCGUUCUUUUAUUUAUAGCUCACAACACUUACUUCUAUUGCGAU